UUGUUGAAGUGGUUCUGGCGGAGCGAAUUUUUCUGGGUUCUUUCCCGGAACACAAAAUCGGCAAGAUACCGGAUCUGGCCAAUCGGUGGUGGAGUUUUGGCCGAAGUCGGUGGUAGCCUCGGGGAAGCAGACCCAAGUAACCAUCCAGCACUAAAAGAAAUCAUAAAUUAGUUGGUAAACAGCAUUCACCAGCUAGUCAGUCAUAAAACAGCUAAGGUUUUUGCAAAUCAGCUCUAAGUCGACUUCUCUGAGAACAGCUGGAAUAGAGCUGAUUUACAGCGGUCACUAGAAACACUGUUAUUAUUUUUUCUAAAAAUCUGGCAUCACGUCUGCCAUUUUGAGUGAGAGUGAGAGAGAGUGAGCGGGAAGGAAAACAAAACAAUAAAAAGCUCUCGCUCACUCGUAGUGAAAUCAACAUGGAAAUAUCAGAACUGGGAAAAUCUGGACGCCUUUUCUUUACUGUUUUAGAAUCAACAGCUGUAUAAUGGACUUCCAAUGGACGGCGAGGAAACACCGCCCGUUGAAAACAGAAUCUGGCAUUGGCAGGUACGACGAUCCACGAAUUCUACGCUGAAUUGUUCGGAUUUGGAGGAAACUUCGUGGUGCCCCAGAUGCAGGUAUGCAGGAUGCAGGCGAAAGCAAGUUCCGUGUUUUAAGUUUGUGAUAAUUUAACUAUGCGAUGCGAGGUGCGACGUUGGAAUAUUAUCAAUAAAAAAUGGUUUUAAGCCUAAAUC
Molecule: long non-coding RNA, 734 nt
Organism: Culex quinquefasciatus (southern house mosquito)
Lineage: Eukaryota; Metazoa; Arthropoda; Insecta; Diptera; Culicidae
Exons: 2
Source: RefSeq, a predicted model, not a curated record